RNAcentral lists this ribosomal RNA (320 nucleotides) under uncultured Prevotella sp. Its description in RNAcentral is "bacterial SSU rRNA". It matches the Rfam family "Bacterial small subunit ribosomal RNA", at positions 28 to 339 of the family's 1533-position model. Lineage: Bacteria; Pseudomonadati; Bacteroidota; Bacteroidia; Bacteroidales; Prevotellaceae. The record is from RNAcentral.
GAUGAACGCUAGCUACAGGCUUAACACAUGCAAGUCGAGGGGUAGCAGGAGAGAAGCUUGCUUUUCUUGCUGACGACCGGCGCACGGGUGAGUAACGCGUAUCCAACCUUCCCCGCAGUAGGGAACAGCCCGGCGAAAGUCGGAUUAAUGCCCUAUGUUCUCCUUUGCAGGCAUCUAACGAGGAGCAAAGAUUCAUCGCUGCGGGAUGGGGAUGCGUCUGAUUAGCUUGUCGGCGGGGUAACGGCCCACCGAGGCGACGAUCAGUAGGGGUUCUGAGAGGAAGGUCCCCCACAUUGGUACUGAGACACGGACCAAACUCC